RNAcentral lists this unclassified non-coding RNA (234 nucleotides) under Hevea brasiliensis (rubber tree). The record is from RNAcentral. Lineage: Eukaryota; Viridiplantae; Streptophyta; Magnoliopsida; Malpighiales; Euphorbiaceae.
GAGUUCUCAACACCUCCAUCGAGCCCCGAAAGCAAGAGCCCAGUUAUCCAGCCACCGUCAGGCUCAUGGCUCCAGUGGAUAAAAGCACCGUACCGUCAGAACCAGUCUUUAACGUCAGGACCGAGCAGCCGUGUGGAGGACAUCCAGGACCCAUUUGUGAUACCCUCUGAUUACACCUGGACGACCCCAGAGGCGAGGAAGAAGAAAAUGAAGGAUACCAAGGGCAAGUCGAAG